This 1470-nucleotide ribosomal RNA is filed under the name metagenome. RNAcentral describes it as "bacterial SSU rRNA". It matches the Rfam family "Bacterial small subunit ribosomal RNA". The record is from RNAcentral.
AGAGUUUGAUCAUGGCUCAGGACGAACGCUGGCGGCACGCUUAACACAUGCAAGUCGAACGAGAGAAGAGGAGCUUGCUUUUCUGAUCUAGUGGCGGACGGGUGAGUAACACGUGAGCAAUCUGCCUUUCAGAGGGGGAUACCGAUUGGAAACGAUCGUUAAUACCGCAUAACAUAAUUGAACCGCAUGAUUUGAUUAUCAAAGAUUUAUCGCUGAAAGAUGAGCUCGCGUCUGAUUAGCUAGUUGGUAAGGUAACGGCUUACCAAGGCGACGAUCAGUAGCCGGACUGAGAGGUUGAUCGGCCACAUUGGGACUGAGACACGGCCCAGACUCCUACGGGAGGCAGCAGUGGGGAAUAUUGCACAAUGGAGGAAACUCUGAUGCAGCGAUGCCGCGUGAGGGAAGAAGGUUUUAGGAUUGUAAACCUCUGUCUUCAGGGACGAAAAAAGACGGUACCUGAGGAGGAAGCUCCGGCUAACUACGUGCCAGCAGCCGCGGUAAUACGUAGGGAGCGAGCGUUGUCCGGAAUUACUGGGUGUAAAGGGAGCGUAGGCGGGAUCGCAAGUCAGAUGUGAAAACUAUGGGCUUAACCCAUAAACUGCAUUUGAAACUGUGGUUCUUGAGUGAAGUAGAGGUAAGCGGAAUUCCUAGUGUAGCGGUGAAAUGCGUAGAUAUUAGGAGGAACAUCAGUGGCGAAGGCGGCUUACUGGGCUUUAACUGACGCUGAGGCUCGAAAGCGUGGGGAGCAAACAGGAUUAGAUACCCUGGUAGUCCACGCCGUAAACGAUGAUUACUAGGUGUGGGGGGACUGACCCCUUCCGUGCCGCAGCAAACGCAAUAAGUAAUCCACCUGGGGAGUACGACCGCAAGGUUGAAACUCAAAGGAAUUGACGGGGGCCCGCACAAGCAGUGGAGUAUGUGGAUUAAUUCGAAGCAACGCGAAGAACCUUACCAGGUCUUGACAUCGUAUGCAUAGCUCAGAGAUGAGUGAAAUCUCUUCGGAGACAUAUAGACAGGUGGUGCAUGGUUGUCGUCAGCUCGUGUCGUGAGAUGUUGGGUUAAGUCCCGCAACGAGCGCAACCCUUACUGUUAGUUGCUACGCAAGAGCACUCUAGCAGGACUGCCGUUGACAAAACGGAGGAAGGUGGGGAUGACGUCAAAUCAUCAUGCCCCUUAUGACCUGGGCCUCACACGUACUACAAUGGCUGUCAACAGAGGGAAGCAAAGCCGCGAGGUGGAGCGAACCCCUAAAAGCAGUCUUAGUUCGGAUUGUAGGCUGCAACCCGCCUACAUGAAGUCGGAAUUGCUAGUAAUCGCAGAUCAGCAUGCUGCGGUGAAUACGUUCCCGGGCCUCGUACACACCGCCCGUCACGCCAUGGGAGUCGGUAACACCCGAAGCCUGUAGUCUAACCGCAAGGAGGACGCAGUCGAAGGUGGGAUUGAUGACUGGGGUGAAGUCGUAACAAGGUA